AGAGUUUGAUCCUGGCUCAGGAUGAACGCUGGCGGCGUGCCUAACACAUGCAAGUCGAGCGAGAAUCUCCCGAUUGAAACUUCGGUCGAAAGAAGGAGAGGAGAGCGGCGGACGGGUGAGUAACGCGUAGGCAACCUGCCUCACACAGAGGGAUACCUCCGGGAAACUGGGAUUAAUACCUCAUAACGCGAAAGUUUCACAUGUUACUUUCGCCAAAGAUUUAUCGGUGUGAGAUGGGCCUGCGUCUGAUUGGCUGGUUGGUGAGGUAACGGCUCACCAAGGCGACGAUCAGUAGCCGACCUGAGAGGGUGAUCGGCCACAUUGGAACUGAGACACGGUCCAAACUCCUACGGGAGGCAGCAGUGGGGAAUAUUGCACAAUGGGGGAAACCCUGAUGCAGCAACGCCGCGUGAGCGAUGAAGGUCUUCGGAUUGUAAAGCUCUGUCCUUGGGGAAGAAAAAAUGACGGUACCCUUGGAGGAAGCCCCGGCUAACUACGUGCCAGCAGCCGCGGUAAUACGUAGGGGGCAAGCGUUAUCCGGAAUUACUGGGCGUAAAGAGUGCGUAGGCGGUUUUGUAAGCGUGGGGUGAAAGGCAGUGGCUCAACCAUUGUUAGCCCCAUGAACUGCAUAACUUGAGUGCGGGAGAGGAAAGUGGAAUUCCUAGUGUAGCGGUGGAAUGCGUAGAUAUUAGGAGGAACACCAGUGGCGAAGGCGACUUUCUGGACCGUAACUGGCGCUGAGGCACGAAAGCGUGGGGAGCAAACAGGAUUAGAUACCCUGGUAGUCCACGCCGUAAACGAUGAGCACUAGGUGUCGGGGCCGCAAGGUUUCGGUGCCGCAGUUAACGCAUUAAGUGCUCCGCCUGGGGAGUACGCACGCAAGUGUAAAACUCAAAGGAAUUGACGGGGACCCGCACAAGCAGCGGAGCAUGUGGUUUAAUUCGAAGCAACGCGAAGAACCUUACCAGGACUUGACAUCCCUCUGACCGGCGUGUAACGGCGCCUUUCCUUCGGGACAGAGGUGACAGGUGGUGCAUGGUUGUCGUCAGCUCGUGUCGUGAGAUGUUGGGUUAAGUCCCGCAACGAGCGCAACCCUUGCCAUUAGUUGCCAGCAUUCAGUUGGGCACUCUAGUGGGACUGCCGGGGAUAACUCGGAGGAAGGUGGGGAUGACGUCAAAUCAUCAUGCCCCUUAUGUUCUGGGCUACACACGUGCUACAAUGGCUGGUACAGAGAGAAGCAAUACUGCGAAGAGGAGCAAAACUCUAAAACCAGUCCCAGUUCGGAUUGUAGGCUGCAACCCGCCUACAUGAAGUCGGAGUUGCUAGUAAUCGCGGAUCAGAAUGCCGCGGUGAAUGCGUUCCCGGGUCUUGUACACAAAGCCCGUCA
This 1387-nucleotide ribosomal RNA is filed under the name uncultured bacterium. Its description in RNAcentral is "bacterial SSU rRNA". It matches the Rfam family "Bacterial small subunit ribosomal RNA". The record is from RNAcentral.